UAACACUAACUGGAGGACCGAACCGACUAAUGUUGAAAAAUUAGCGGAUGACCUGUGGCUGGGGGUGAAAGGCCAAUCAAACCGGGAGAUAGCUGGUUCUCCCCGAAAGCUAUUUAGGUAGCGCCUCGUGAAUUCAUCUCCGGGGGUAGAGCACUGUUUCGGCUAGGGGGCCAUCCCGGCUUACCAACCCGAUGCAAACUGCGAAUACCGGAGAAUGUUAUCACGGGAGACACACGGCGGGUGCUAACGUCCGUCGUGAAGAGGGAAACAACCCAGACCGCCAGCUAAGGUCCCAAAGUCAUGGUUAAGUGGGAAACGAUGUGGGAAGGCCCAGACAGCCAGGAUGUUGGCUUAGAAGCAGCCAUCAUUUAAAGAAAGCGUAAUAGCUCACUGGUCGAGUCGGCCUGCGCGGAAGAUGUAACGGGGCUAAACCAUGCACCGAAGCUGCGGCAGCGACACUUUAGUGUUGUUGGGUAGGGGAGCGUUCUGUAAGCCGUUGAAGGUGUCCUGUGAGGGGUGCUGGAGGUAUCAGAAGUGCGAAUGCUGACAUAAGUAACGAUAAAGCGGGUGAAAAGCCCGCUCGCCGGAAGACCAAGGGUUCCUGUCCAACGUUAAUCGGGGCAGGGUGAGUCGACCCCUAAGGCGAGGCCGAAAGGCGUAGUCGAUGGGAAACGGGUUAAUAUUCCCGUACUUGGUGUUACUGCGAAGGGGGGACGGAGAAGGCUAUGUUGGCCGGGCGACGGUAGUCCCGGUUUAAGCGUGUAGGUGUGUGUUCCAGGUAAAUCCGGUUCACUUUAACACUGAGGCGUGAUGACGAGGCACCACGGUGCUGAAGCAACAAAUGCCCUGCUUCCAGGAAAAGCCUCUAAGCAUCAGGUAACAUCAAAUCGUACCCCAAACCGACACAGGUGGUCAGGUAGAGAAUACCAAGGCGCUUGAGAGAACUCGGGUGAAGGAACUAGGCAAAAUGGUGCCGUAACUUCGGGAGAAGGCACGCUGACACGUAGGUGAAGUGAUUUACUCAUGGAGCUGAAGUCAGUCGAAGAUACCAGCUGGCUGCAACUGUUUAUUAAAAACACAGCACUGUGCAAACACGAAAGUGGACGUAUACGGUGUGACGCCUGCCCGGUGCCGGAAGGUUAAUUGAUGGGGUCAGCGCAAGCGAAGCUCCUGAUCGAAGCCCCGGUAAACGGCGGCCGUAACUAUAACGGUCCUAAGGUAGCGAAAUUCCUUGUCGGGUAAGUUCCGACCUGCACGAAUGGCGUAAUGAUGGCCAGGCUGUCUCCACCCGAGACUCAGUGAAAUUGAACUCGCUGUGAAGAUGCAGUGUACCCGCGGCAAGACGGAAAGACCCCGUGAACCUUUACUAUAGCUUGACACUGAACAUUGAGCCUUGAUGUGUAGGAUAGGUGGGAGGCUUUGAAGCGUGGACGCCAGUCUGCGUGGAGCCGACCUUGAAAUACCACCCUUUAAUGUUUGAUGUUCUAACGUGGACCCGUAAUCCGGGUUGCGGACAGUGUCUGGUGGGUAGUUUGACUGGGGCGGUCUCCUCCUAAAGAGUAACGGAGGAGCACGAAGGUUGGCUAAUCCUGGUCGGACAUCAGGAGGUUAGUGCAAUGGCAUAAGCCAGCUUGACUGCGAGCGUGACGGCGCGAGCAGGUGCGAAAGCAGGUCAUAGUGAUCCGGUGGUUCUGAAUGGAAGGGCCAUCGCUCAACGGAUAAAAGGUACUCCGGGGAUAACAGGCUGAUACCGCCCAAGAGUUCAUAUCGACGGCGGUGUUUGGCACCUCGAUGUCGGCUCAUCACAUCCUGGGGCUGAAGUAGGUCCCAAGGGUAUGGCUGUUCGCCAUUUAAAGUGGUACGCGAGCUGGGUUUAGAACGUCGUGAGACAGUUCGGUCC
RNAcentral lists this ribosomal RNA (1900 nucleotides) under Salmonella enterica subsp. diarizonae. RNAcentral's name for it is "partial 23S ribosomal RNA". It matches the Rfam family "Bacterial large subunit ribosomal RNA", at positions 757 to 2637 of the family's 2925-position model. The record is from RNAcentral. Lineage: Bacteria; Pseudomonadati; Pseudomonadota; Gammaproteobacteria; Enterobacterales; Enterobacteriaceae.